CCGAGAUUUAAAUGCCCGGGAGCUCAACAGCAACGCUGCUGUUGUCUAAAAAUGUUCAAUAAAGUUAAAAGACACCGGGACGAUCGCGUCCAAAUACAGGAGGAGCUCGAUAAUUCACUCAAGAAGACUGACGCCCUCCUGUCAGGUGUUAGGAAAAGAUACCCGGGGAACCUCGUCCUUAAACUUGCCUUUCAGGUUGAUCUACGAACCAGUAAGUGUCAUUUUUCUUUUUAUACUGUGUAUUCUUGGAUGGCUGCCGCGCCUCUUUCUCACAAACACGCACACAUGCACGCACACUGACUUUUACAUCCUCCUCUCUGUCUUUGCUGUGGAUUUAAGGCCGCCGUGUCUUAACCAUUUGUCUAAUUGGCUUGGAAUGUUUUUUAUGUGUUGUGUAUUGUGUCUUUGCUUGGCCGCCGCGCCAUGAUUGACUUUUUUAUUUUUUGACAACAUUCGUCCGACAUAGCCAUACUCUGCGCAUCCAAUUUGAACACGGCCACCCAAUUUUUCGUCUGUCUGUCCAACAUGGCCACCCAAUUGUUUGUCCUUUGUCCUUGUCUUUGUUUCUUUUUGUUUUUCUUCUCUCUGUUGAGGAACAGAUAGCUGAUCUAUUAAUUGUGUUGGGCUUGUUAAAAGGACUGUUGAAUAAUUGGAAGCUUGGGGAGACAUAUUCUGACCCCUUUGUGUUUUUUAUGCUGUAAGAUGGUCUCUGGUUUUGCUAAACCAGUGAUGGUGUGAGCAGGAAGAAUGAGAUGUAGGAUUAGGCUCUGUGGUGUGUGAGACGGGCUUUAUGUUGGAUAGUAAAUAGUUCAUUGGUCAUUAUCUUCUAUGGGCUGACAGGGAGUGUUUUUGUGUACAAUGAUUUGAUGGAACUGUAGUAGGUGAUGUUAGGAAUGGAGAGGUUUAUGUAGUGUGGUAUAUAAACUUGUGUUAAAAGUCAGAAGGUGCUUUGUCUUAGUUGCUGUGCCAUGACUGUUGAUUUGUCUCUGUCUAAGCUUGGAUCAGUAUUUGUGUACUAACUUUUUCUUUUUAGGUAAAUCUACAAUUGGUGAGUCCCAUUUUUAUAUUAAGUGUUUUUGGAUGGUCGCCGUGCCUUCCUGCUCAUCUGUUUCUCUACAGUAGGGCUGAACAAUUGACUAAAAUAUUAGGCUUGUUUAGUACAUACCCCAGCCA
Molecule: long non-coding RNA, 1173 nt
Organism: Lates calcarifer (barramundi perch)
Lineage: Eukaryota; Metazoa; Chordata; Actinopteri; Centropomidae
Exons: 3
Source: RefSeq, a predicted model, not a curated record